This 394-nucleotide ribosomal RNA is filed under the name uncultured bacterium. RNAcentral describes it as "partial 16S ribosomal RNA". It matches the Rfam family "Bacterial small subunit ribosomal RNA", at positions 338 to 729 of the family's 1533-position model. The record is from RNAcentral.
CCUACGGGUGGCAGCAGUGAGGAAUAUUGGUCAAUGGGCGCGAGCCUGAACCAGCCAAGCAGCGUGAAGGACGACUGCCCUAAGGAUUGUAAACUUCUUUUAUCAAGGAAUAAAGUCAGGCUCGAGAGCCUUAUUGUAUGUACUUUAAGAAAAAGCAUCGGCUAACUCCGUGCCAGCAGCCGCGGUAAUACGGAGGAUUCGAGCGUUAUCCGGAUUUAUUGGGUUUAAAGGGAGCGUUGGUGGGAUGUUAAGUCAGUUGUGAAAGGUUGCGGCUCAACCCUAAGAGAGCCGUUGAUACUGGCUGCCUUGAGAUGUCGUGAGGUAUGCGGAAUGCGUAGUGUAGCGGUGAAAUGCUUAGAUAUCGCGCAGAACUCCGAUUGCGAAGGCAGCAUAC